RNAcentral lists this long non-coding RNA (339 nucleotides) under Phaseolus vulgaris (common bean). Its description in RNAcentral is "long non-coding RNA (PVUL_LNC004117)". Lineage: Eukaryota; Viridiplantae; Streptophyta; Magnoliopsida; Fabales; Fabaceae. The record is from RNAcentral.
GGGAGUGAAGAUGGUAAGGAAGAGAAGCCUCUGCCUGUGCCCCCCGUGUACAGAAGCAGAACCAUAGCACUUUCAGGACCUUUGGAUGGCAGUAGAAUCAUGCAAGACAAAAUGCUCCACAACAAGGCCUUGAAGCUAUCUGGACCACUUGAUGGAAGAAUGCAUGAGAGAAUGAUCAUCAACUCUAAUAGAAGCCCUUUAAUACCUAGGCCUUUGGAUGCAAGAUUUGUAGCCACAACAAAGAGUCCAAGAGUCUCAGGGCCUCUGGAUCCAAGACUCAUGGCUGCUGAGAUCAAAAGCCCAAGACUGCCAAGGCCUUCCGAUUUCACAAGGGCUGAC